This 326-nucleotide long non-coding RNA is filed under the name Androctonus crassicauda. The record is from RNAcentral. Lineage: Eukaryota; Metazoa; Arthropoda; Arachnida; Scorpiones; Buthidae.
UAUUCUUUAUAAACUAGAAGAAAAGAAAGGAAAGGCCAUUAAAUCAUUUGCGCUAUCCAAAAAUGCUUGUGGAGCAAUUGAGAGGACCCUAUCGCCGGCAUCGUGAUCAAGCGUCGAUGUCGAUCAUUGAUGAACCCCGACUAAAUGGAAAGCUCCAUGUUGUUUUGAAAGGGGUAAAGAGGGAUUGCAAGGUUUGCUCUGACCAUAGUAAGCCUGGCAGUAGGUGUGAAACCUCAUAUUAUUGUGAUACAUGCCUUGACAAACUGAGGAUACAUCUCGGGAAUUGUUUUGUAAAAUAUCACUCAAAAACCAAAUACAGAGAGAUC